GACGAACGCUGGCGGCGUGCUUAACACAUGCAAGUCGAACGGUGAUGCUCCAGCUUGCUGGAGUGGAUCAGUGGCGAACGGGUGAGUAACACGUGAGCAACCUGCCCCAGACUCUGGAAUAAGCGCUGGAAACGGCGUCUAAUACUGGAUACGAAACUGGCCCGCAUGGGCAUGGUUUGGAAAGUUUUUCGGUUUGGGAUGGGCUCGCGGCCUAUCAGCUUGUUGGUGAGGUAAUGGCUCACCAAGGCGACGACGGGUAGCCGGCCUGAGAGGGCGACCGGCCACACUGGGACUGAGACACGGCCCAGACUCCUACGGGAGGCAGCAGUGGGGAAUAUUGCACAGUGGGCGAAAGCCUGGUGCAGCGACGCCGCGUGAGGGAUGACGGCCUUCGGGUUGUAAACCUCUGUCAGCAGGGAAGAAGCGAUAGUGACGGUACCUGCAGAAGAAGCACCGGCUAACUACGUG
This 468-nucleotide ribosomal RNA is filed under the name uncultured bacterium. RNAcentral's name for it is "partial 16S ribosomal RNA". It matches the Rfam family "Bacterial small subunit ribosomal RNA", at positions 28 to 507 of the family's 1533-position model. The record is from RNAcentral.